This 246-nucleotide ribosomal RNA is filed under the name uncultured Bacillota bacterium. Its description in RNAcentral is "uncultured Firmicutes bacterium partial 16S ribosomal RNA". It matches the Rfam family "Bacterial small subunit ribosomal RNA", at positions 796 to 1041 of the family's 1533-position model. The record is from RNAcentral. Lineage: Bacteria; Bacillati; Bacillota.
CACACUGUAAACGAUGAAUGCUAGGUGUAGGAGGUAUCGACCCCUUCUGUGCCGCAGUAAACACAGUAAGCAUUCCGCCUGGGGAGUACGGUCGCAAGAUUAAAACUCAAAGGAAUUGACGGGGGCCCGCACAAGCAGCGGAGCAUGUGGUUUAAUUCGAAGCAACGCGAAGAACCUUACCAGGUCUUGACAUCCAGUAAAGGCCGUAGAGAUACGGAAUCCCUUCGGGGGUACUGAGACAGGUGG